GACGAACGCUGGCGGCGCGCUUAACACAUGCAAGUCGAACGGAAAGGCCUGCUUUCCCUUGUGGAUUGCGGGUACUCGAGUGGCGAACGGGUGAGUAACACGUGAGUGAUCUGCCCCCAACUUGGGUAUAAGCCUGGGAAACUGGGUCUAAUUCCCGAUAGGACUGCAGGGUGGUGCCUGUGGUGGAAAACGAUUUUCUAGUGGUUGGGGAUGAGCUCGCGGCCUAUCAGCUUGUUGGUGGGGUAAUGGCCUACCAAGGCGGCGAUGGGUAGCCGGCCUGAGAGGGUGGACGGCCACAUUGGGACUGAGAUACGGCCCAGACUCCUACGGGAGGCAGCAGUGGGGAAUAUUGCACAAUGGGCGGAAGCCUGAUGCAGCGACGCCGCGUGGGGGAUGACGGCCUUCGGGUUGUAAACUCCUUUCGACCGCGAGGAAGCCACCUGGUUGGAAGGGUGGUGACGGUAGUGGUAGAAGAAGCACCGGCUAACUACGUG
Molecule: ribosomal RNA, 494 nt
Filed under: uncultured bacterium
Lineage: Bacteria
Description: partial 16S ribosomal RNA
Rfam family: Bacterial small subunit ribosomal RNA
Source: RNAcentral